RNAcentral lists this ribosomal RNA (529 nucleotides) under Alternaria tenuissima. RNAcentral describes it as "partial large subunit ribosomal RNA". It matches the Rfam family "Eukaryotic large subunit ribosomal RNA", at positions 102 to 646 of the family's 3401-position model. Lineage: Eukaryota; Fungi; Ascomycota; Dothideomycetes; Pleosporales; Pleosporaceae. The record is from RNAcentral.
CAACAGCUCAAAUUUGAAAUCUGGCUCUUUUAGAGUCCGAGUUGUAAUUUGCAGAGGGCGCUUUGGCUUUGGCAGCGGUCCAAGUUCCUUGGAACAGGACGUCACAGAGGGUGAGAAUCCCGUACGUGGUCGCUGGCUAUUGCCGUGUAAAGCCCCUUCGACGAGUCGAGUUGUUUGGGAAUGCAGCUCUAAAUGGGAGGUACAUUUCUUCUAAAGCUAAAUAUUGGCCAGAGACCGAUAGCGCACAAGUAGAGUGAUCGAAAGAUGAAAAGCACUUUGGAAAGAGAGUCAAACAGCACGUGAAAUUGUUGAAAGGGAAGCGCUUGCAGCCAGACUUGCUUACAGUUGCUCAUCCGGGUUUCUACCCGGUGCACUCUUCUGUAGGCAGGCCAGCAUCAGUUUGGGCGGUAGGAUAAAGGUCUCUGUCACGUACCUCCUUUCGGGGAGGCCUUAUAGGGGAGACGACAUACUACCAGCCUGGACUGAGGUCCGCGCAUCUGCUAGGAUGCUGGCGUAAUGGCUGUAAGCG